GAUGAACGCUGGCGGCGUGCCUAAUACAUGCAAGUCGAGCGAACAGACGAGGAGCUUGCUCCUCUGACGUUAGCGGCGGACGGGUGAGUAACACGUGGAUAACCUACCUAUAAGACUGGGAUAACUUCGGGAAACCGGAGCUAAUACCGGAUAAUAUAUUGAACCGCAUGGUUCAAUAGUGAAAGACGGUUUUGCUGUCACUUAUAGAUGGAUCCGCGCCGCAUUAGCUAGUUGGUAAGGUAACGGCUUACCAAGGCAACGAUGCGUAGCCGACCUGAGAGGGUAAUCGGCCACACUGGAACUGAGACACGGUCCAGACUCCUACGGGAGGCAGCAGUAGGGAAUCUUCCGCAAUGGGCGAAAGCCUGACGGAGCAACGCCGCGUGAGUGAUGAAGGUCUGCGGAUCGUAAAACUCUGUUAUUAGGGAAGAACAAAUGUGUAAGUAACUAUGCACGUCUUGACGGUACCUAAUCAGAAAGCCACGGCUAACUACGU
Molecule: ribosomal RNA, 496 nt
Filed under: uncultured bacterium
Lineage: Bacteria
Description: partial 16S ribosomal RNA
Rfam family: Bacterial small subunit ribosomal RNA
Source: RNAcentral